AACCCAUGGUAAGGGCACCUUCUCAAUAUAUCCUUAAACCUCUCCCACGCAUCAUAUAGAGUCUCUAAGUCUAUCUGCACGAAGGAAGAGAUAUCAUUCCUCAGCUU
Molecule: non-coding RNA, 107 nt
Organism: Gossypium hirsutum (cotton)
Lineage: Eukaryota; Viridiplantae; Streptophyta; Magnoliopsida; Malvales; Malvaceae
Source: Rfam